UACGUAGGGGGCUAGCGUUGUCCGGAAUCAUUGGGCGUAAAGCGCGUGUAGGCGGUUCGGUAAGUCUGCUGUGAAAGUCGGGGGCUCAACCCUCGAAUGCCGGUGGAUACUGUCGGACUAGAGUGCGGAAGAGGCGAGUGGAAUUCCUGGUGUAGCGGUGAAAUGCGCAGAUAUCAGGAGGAACACCAAUUGCGAAGGCAGCUCGCUGGGACGUUACUUGACGCUGGAGACGCGAAAGCGUGGGAGCAAACAGG
Molecule: ribosomal RNA, 254 nt
Filed under: uncultured bacterium
Lineage: Bacteria
Description: partial 16S ribosomal RNA
Rfam family: Bacterial small subunit ribosomal RNA
Source: RNAcentral